Long non-coding RNA from Peromyscus eremicus (cactus mouse), 1393 nucleotides. RefSeq lists it as uncharacterized. The transcript is spliced from 5 exons. The record is from RefSeq and is a predicted model, not a curated record. Lineage: Eukaryota; Metazoa; Chordata; Mammalia; Rodentia; Cricetidae.
UCUCUUAGUCAAGAAAUGCUCAAGAAAGUGAGUGCACUGGGAAACAUAAUUAAAUUUUCCAGACUUUCAAAUCUCAGUGAGACAUUAGACAAGGGAAGAGGAAUAAAAAGGAAAAAGAAUAGAAGCUGAGCAGUAAGAGAUACUAUGACAGAUUAGGAACCGCUGUCUUUUUUUUCCCCUGAGCUGCAUACAUGCUAUUCAACAAACCAUCUCUUCACGUCUGUGUUACAACGCAUUUCAUAAAAACAUCUGUUGAAUGAGACAUUUUGACAUGCCUUAAAAAGAGUCCACUAUUUUAUAACAUUUUUGUCCUCUCAUAUCAUGUUUAGAUGACAGCCUACUAAUGAUGUAAAUUUGAUUAAGUGAGAACAUGUGCCAUAUGGAGUAAUUGACAAUGUUUGCGAUAUUGAUGAGGAACCUCAAUCCAAUCAAUGUGGUGUGUUUACUAAUUCCCUGCAGGCCUCCAACAGCCAAAGAAGAAAUACGGGAAUGGGGUUGAGGAGCAAGGUGACAAGAUGUUCCAAGAAUAAGCAAAAGACAUGGAAAACAAUGUUCUCUGGCAGCAGUUCUUGAGUGGGACAUUCAGCUCAUGAAUUUCAUGGUAUUUAAUUUUCCCAGAAAAGAGUUAAAAUCAAUGUUGGUAGUAUUUAAGGAAAAGCUUUUCUUCAUGUGAUACCAAGAUUAUAAUAAAGAUCAAGGACAUUACCUAACUGGAGUGUUGAGUGAAUGAAGAAAUGGAAAACACAUGGGGCACAGAAGAGCUGGAAUGUGAGGGUCUAGGGUCUCAGAAGAAGAAUCCAUAACUCCCCAGAAGCUUGAGUGUUUAUUAUAUAAAGGUAAACAAGGACCAAGGUUAUUACACACAGGUGCAUCUUUCAACUCACAGGAUAGCAGCUCUUGAAAAAGAUCUACACAAGACCAGGCCCACCAACAUCCUCCCAUACAUGGGGAAGGGACUUAUUGGUCUAACACUUCUCCCUGCAGAGAAGAAAUUAAAAGUAACAGGAGGUUGGUCGCCCAUAACCACUGAGUAUUGAGGCAGAUAAUAUGAAAAUUCUUCCGCCUAUGAAUUCAUGAUGUGUGUGCUUCUACAGUGACCCUGAAGAUCUUGACACUGUGACACACUCUUUCACAUCACUAAGGAUUCUGCAUGCCACGUACUUACAUAGUGGUUUCUGUUGCUUGAAGGAAAUGUCCUGCCAUUUCAAUUAGCAAAACAGGUGACACCUUGCUGACAUUUCAAGAAACACCGAGGACAGUUUGAAAUAGAAUGAAUUUCAUCAUAGCUCUGAUAUAGAAACCUAAAAAGCAUCAUGAAAGAGAAGCUUCCAAAAGAUAUGAUACUUCUGUAGGCAUUUCUGGCCUAGGUUGUCUGAAGAAUGCUACUUAAUGU